AAAUCGGUUCUUUUUAGAACCCACAUUAUGUUCAAAAAAACGGAA
Oryctes borbonicus is the source of this 45-nucleotide non-coding RNA. The record is from Rfam. NCBI's taxonomy places the organism in Eukaryota, Metazoa, Arthropoda, Insecta, Coleoptera, Scarabaeidae.